This 432-nucleotide ribosomal RNA is filed under the name uncultured bacterium. RNAcentral's name for it is "partial 16S ribosomal RNA". It matches the Rfam family "Bacterial small subunit ribosomal RNA", at positions 29 to 507 of the family's 1533-position model. The record is from RNAcentral.
ACGAACGCUGGCGGCAUGCCUAACCCAUGCAAGUCGCACGAGACCUUCGGGUCUAGUGGCGCACGGGUGCGUAACGCGUGGGAACCUGCCCUUAGGUUCGGAAUAACUCCCCGAAAGGGGUGCUAAUACCGGAUAAUGUCUUCGGACCAAAGAUUUAUCGCCUUUGGAUGGGCCCGCGUUGGAUUAGCUAGUUGGUAGGGUAAAAGCCUACCAAGGCGACGAUCCAUAGCUGGUCUGAGAGGAUGAUCAGCCACACUGGGACUGAGACACGGCCCAGACUCCUACGGGAGGCAGCAGUGGGGAAUAUUGGAUAAUGGGCGAAAGCCUGAUCCAGCAAUGCCGCGUGAGUGAUGAAGGCCUUAGGGUUGUAAAGCUCUUUUACCCGGGAUGAUAAUGACAGUACCGGGAGAAUAAGCUCCGGCUAACUCCGUG